Molecule: ribosomal RNA, 546 nt
Filed under: Olivella olssoni
Lineage: Eukaryota; Metazoa; Mollusca; Gastropoda; Neogastropoda; Olividae
Description: partial 16S ribosomal RNA
Rfam family: Bacterial large subunit ribosomal RNA
Source: RNAcentral
GCCUGUUUAUCAAAAACAUCGCUCCCUGUUACAAAGAAAUAAGGAGUCGGACCUGCCCAGUGAAUAUUUUCAACGGCCGCGGUACUCUGACCGUGCAAAGGUAGCAUAAUCAUUUGCCUUAUAAUUGAAGGCUAGUAUGAAUGGUUUGACGAGAAUAUAGCUGUCUCUUUCUAAUUAUUUAGAAAUUUAUUUUCAGGUGCAGAAGCCUGAAUUUGAUUAAAAGACAAGAAGACCCUAUCGAGCUUGAAACAAAUUAAUGGAAUUAAAAAAAUAGAUUUUAAAAUUACUUACCAUUAAAUAUUUUGGUUGGGGCGACUGAGGAACAAAUAAAGCUUCCUUGAAUUAAAUAUAAAAUUCACUAAUAUUGAUCCAAAAUUUUUGAUUAAUGGAAUUAGUUACCGUAGGGAUAACAGCAUUAUCUUUUUUGAGAGCUCUAAUCGAAAAAAAGGUUUGUGACCUCGAUGUUGGACCAGAAUAUCCAGAAGGUGCAGCAGCUUUCAAGGGUUGGUCUGUUCGACCAUUAAAAUUCUACGUGAUCUGAGUUCA